GAUGAACGCUGGCGGCGUGCCUAAUACAUGCAAGUCGAGCGAACGGACGAGAAGCUUGCUUCUCUGAUGUUAGCGGCGGACGGGUGAGUAACACGUGGAUAACCUACCUAUAAGACUGGGAUAACUUCGGGAAACCGGAGCUAAUACCGGAUAAUAUUUUGAACCGCAUGGUUCAAAAGUGAAAGACGGUCUUGCUGUCACUUAUAGAUGGAUCCGCGCUGCAUUAGCUAGUUGGUAAGUUAACGGCUUACCAAGGCAACGAUGCAUAGCCGACCUGAGAGGGGGAUCGCCCACACUGGAACUGAGACGCGGUCCAGACUCCUACGGGAGGCAGCAGUAGGGAAUCUUCCGCAAUGGGCGAAAGCCUGGCGGAGCAACGCCGCGUGAGUGAUGAAGGUCUUCGGAUCGUAAAGCUCUGUUAUUAGGGAAGAACAUAUGUGUCAGUAACUGUGCCCAUAUUGACGGUACCUAAUCAGAAAGCAACGGCUAACUACGUG
Molecule: ribosomal RNA, 497 nt
Filed under: uncultured bacterium
Lineage: Bacteria
Description: partial 16S ribosomal RNA
Rfam family: Bacterial small subunit ribosomal RNA
Source: RNAcentral